GAUGAACGCUAGCGGCAGGCUUAACACAUGCAAGUCGAGGGGUAUUGGUUUUCGGACCAAGAGACCGGCGCACGGGUGCGUAACGCGUAUGCAAUCUACCUUUUGCAGAGGGAUAGCCCAGAGAAAUUUGGAUUAAUACCUCAUAGUAUAGUACUUUGGCAUCAAGGAACUAUUAAAGUCACAACGGCAAAAGAUGAGCAUGCGUCCCAUUAGCUAGUUGGUAAGGUAACGGCUUACCAAGGCUACGAUGGGUAGGGGUCCGUGAGAGGGAGGAUCCCCCACCACUGGUACUGAGACACGGACCAGACUCCUACGGGAGGCAGCAGUGAGGAAUAUUGGACAAUGGGCGGCAAGCCUGAUCCAGCCAUGCCGCGUGCAGGAUGACGGUCCUA
Molecule: ribosomal RNA, 392 nt
Filed under: uncultured bacterium
Lineage: Bacteria
Description: bacterial SSU rRNA
Rfam family: Bacterial small subunit ribosomal RNA
Source: RNAcentral